RNAcentral lists this unclassified non-coding RNA (28 nucleotides) under Mus musculus (house mouse). RNAcentral's name for it is "oocyte_clustered_small_RNA12820". The record is from RNAcentral. Lineage: Eukaryota; Metazoa; Chordata; Mammalia; Rodentia; Muridae.
CAUUCCAUGCGAGUCAGCCUGGAAGUCU